Leopardus geoffroyi (Geoffroy's cat) is the source of this 3266-nucleotide long non-coding RNA. RefSeq lists it as uncharacterized. The record is from RefSeq and is a predicted model, not a curated record. The transcript is spliced from 4 exons. NCBI's taxonomy places the organism in Eukaryota, Metazoa, Chordata, Mammalia, Carnivora, Felidae.
CUCUUUGCCCCCCUCCCCUGCUCACGCUCUGUCUCUCUCCCUCUCCCACUCUCAAAAAAUAAACAUUAAAAAAAAAAAAAAAUCCUAUCGUGCCUGUGCAGAAGCCACUCAGAGUGAAGCCAUCUGGAUGGAGAGUAUGCCCUGGGGAUUUCCAGUCCUGAGGUUUCCUAGGUGCUCGGUGCCAAUUCAGGGUCCCACAGAAUGUCUUCUCCCUCCAUUUCUGGAGAUCCUGAGCUGCAUAGGGAUGGGGCUGGGUGGGUGGAGAGACUCCUGGAUACCUGUUUAAAAACUUAAAAGGAGGAGCGCGAGAGCGAGAGUGGGGUUUGACUCACCACGCGGGGUUGGCCGGCCUUGACUUCGCUCAUCUCCUGUUAACGGCUCAUGGUCAAAAUAGUGGCAGGGCACGGUUACAGAAAAGCUCCCUCUUUGUCUGCUCAGACUCCAUAGAAAUCCUUGAUGUCGUGGAAGAUGAAAGCCAAUCCGCCGGUCCUCCAGGGGUUGAGAAUGGAACGCACUACGGUCCUUGGUCUUCCGCGUGUCAAGCGUGGUUCUGGCAGGUGAAAGGAGCUGCGUCAGGUACGGCAAAGCUGCGGUGACUGCAGACAGACAUGUGCAGAAGGAGGACAGAAGGGAAGCAAGGGUGACCAGUAUGUUUCCUUUGAACGCCACAAAGGAUCGCAUUAUAAGCUUGCAGAGGCGCUGGAUCGCUGUCUAGUCUGCAUUUACGGAAAUGUGAAACUUCCACGAGAAGAGGAGGAAAAAUCCCCCCACUGUCUGAUAUUCUGCCUUGGAACGCUGUUAAGAACUACGUCUUUUUUUUGUUCUUUCCUCCCUUCGUGCUUUCUAACUUUCUGAAAAUGAACAACCACCGUUGUGACCUGUUGUCUUUUUAUAUUGUGUUAAGUAUUUACGUUUUUAUGUAUUUGCAACCAUGAAUGAGAUACGUAUAAAAAAGGUGAAUGCCAUAGGUGCUGAAAAGAAGUCUAGGCAGUUAUUUAUAGCACAAAGAUUUUGAAAAAUGAACCUGUGUUUUUGUACCACAAACCUUCCCCUUGACUAGUAGAGCAAGUGUGAAAAACAGUGGGUUUAUUUUAUUAUUUUUUUAAAGUUCAUUUCUUUAUUUUGAGAAAGAGGGAGACAGGGAGUGAGGGAGGGGCAGAGAGAGAGGUAUUGAGAAUCCCAAGCAGGGAUCCCAAGGCUGGGCUCGACUCAGGGCUCGACUCAGAGCUCGAACUCACAAACUGUAAGGUCAUGACCGGAGGCGAAAUCAAGAGUCAGAUGCUUAAUGCACCGAGCCACCGAGGCACCCCAUCUGUGGGUUCCUUUUAAAAGUUCACUUAUGGGAGCCUGGGUGGCUCAAAGCAUCUGACUUUGGCUCGGGUCAUGAUCUGAUGGUCGUGAGUUCGAGUCCUGCUUUGGGUGAACAUGAGUCCCGCUCUGGGUGAGCCCCACCUCUCUCUCCCUCUGUCUCUCUCUCUCUCUCUCUCUUUGCCCCUUGCUCACUUGCACCCUUUCUCUCUCUCUCUCUCUCUCUCUCUCAAAAAACCGAUUCAUUUGAAGUUUGAUUUGGUCUGGCUUUCGUUUUGUGACAUCAUUGACCCCCAAGAGAUUGCACCCACCCAGUAUUCAUGCCCUUGGAUAUUCCCCACCCCCAACUUUGCCUCUGGGGUUGGCCUGUUGACUACAUGUGGCCAGUGGGAAACUCGCAAGUGUGAUGCACGCAGAGGCUUGAUAAGCAUUUACACACUGGGGCUUGUCCCCUUAUAAAGCUUGUUCUUAGAACCCAGCCACCAAGCUGUGAGAAAGUCCAAGUGGCCACCUGGAGAGUCUUAGGUGGAAGACAGCAAAGGCCCCUGGCCAACAGCCCCAACUUGCCGGCUCUGUGAAUGGGGCCACCGUGGAAAUGGAUCCUCCAACCCCCGGUGGAGCCCCCCCCCAGCUGAUUCCACACGGAACAGAGAUGAGCUUUCCCCAUCAAGUCCUGGCCAAAUUGCAGGUGUGUGAGUCAGUGAAUGGUGGUUGUUGUUUUGAGCCAUUAAGUUUUGGGGUACUUUGUUACGUACGCGUGAAAUGGUACCUAAGCUAUUUUAUGUAUGGAUUGUAUCUAGUUGUCUAUCAACCCCUAAAUUUAAGUUGGCAUAAAGAUCGUAACUGUUUCUUAGUUCAGGAACCCUGUGUUGAACUCGGAGGUUCCGAGACUGCAUCCUGGUUUAGCAGAAAGUCAUGCAAGUCCCUUAUUCUAUCGAUUCUCCACCCACCAGCCCGCGUGAUCUUUUAAAAAUCAUUGCUUACAUCCUUCGGCGCUUUCCUCUGCACCUGUAAGGAAAACCGAAUUCCUUAUUCCACUUUGCAGGUCCCUCUGGCCUGUGCUUGAUUCCCCUUCAUUCUCGUCUCGUGCCACCCUCCCUCCACUCCACCACUUGCACGGUCCAGCCUCACACGUGGCCUUCCAAGUCCCUGAGCAUGCCAAGCUGGUGCCCACCUUUGCAUCUUUUUACCCACGUUGGAUGUUCUCCCUGCCUGGAACAGCCAUCAUGGGACUGGCUUCUUACCAUUCAGAUCUCAGCUGAAACGUCACCUCCUCAGAGAAGCUUCCCUGACUGUGACGAUCGGUCACAGAUCACCUCAAAAUGCACAAGCAUGAAUCUCUGCUUCGCAGGCCCGUGUGGCGAUUGGGGCAGCCGUCCACGCUGUCUCGGGCUACGGUCCACGUUGCCUCCCAGGUGAGCCGUUGAAAACCCUCACGCCUCCACGGCCCCAACUCAGAACUCACACGCUGCUCCCUCCACAUGGUUCAGAUCGCUUCACACGGCCAACAUCACUGGAGAGGGGAAGUACUCUUCCCAUGAAGUAGAUGUUCGCAUAACGACAAUCAAAUGUAUGAUAUUGUCAAACCUAAAGCAGGCACACCAUCAGCCCUUACCUUCAUUUCACCCGAUUUUAAUUCUCUGCAAAUAAUUGAUCACUCUCUGAUAUUUUUUGCGGUUAUUUAUUAUUAUUAUUUAUUAUUGCCUGUCAUCUUUUGUUAGAUCACGUGUGCUACGAAAGCAAAGAUAUUAUGUGUCUUCUUCAAUGCCCUAUUCCCCCACCCCUUGGAACAGUUUCUGGCUGAGACAAGGGGCCUGAUAAGAACGAAUGUUAGUUGCAGGUAUUCUUUUGGGGAGAAGGACCUUGAAAGCCACUUAUUUUUUUCCCAAACCUAACUUACAUAAGUAUCUUUAAAAAAAAAAAAAAAAAAACAUCUUAAAGUAAUCUCUACACCCAAA